AACAUGAGAAGAAAGAACUCAUAUUUUCAGUGACCUCUAAGAAUCUCUAAUAUUUUGGGAAGGUUCUGCUUGAAACAAUGAUUGAUAUUAGAGAUAAUGCAUGUUUGAUUUGCCCUAGGAGCAGGAAAUCCUUUUUAAAGCCCAGUUCCUCGAGGAUAUCUGGCUUAAAGUGAAUGAAUCGCUGCUUCUGAGAAAAUGCACUGUGUGCAGAAUCCUUUGUCAUGGGAGAAACACAGGAAGCACAAUACUGCAACAUCUGCAACUGCUCUGCCCUGCUGGGAUUGAACUCUAAUUUUCUACAUAAUAACGGAGAUGAAUAUCCCUUAAAGAUGCAAAUGUAGGACAGGUCUUCACAGAAAACAGUUUUCAAGUACAAUGAUGGGAUACAGAUCAGAACUUGGAGCAUAAACAAGAUCUCACAGCCUCUACAACAGAACUCUGCAUCUGAAAGUGAAGAGGGAAUUAAUUCUGUAUGAAACUGCUGUGUGGUCCUUAAAGGAUGUUCUCUGUUUCGUGGAUUGAUUCUGCUGCUGGGGAACUCAAAGAAAAAAAAAUUCAGUGCCUGGUAAAGUUAUGGAGAAGAUUAUUCUGGAAGGUAUUGAAAAACACAUGAAAGGCAACGCAGUCACUGGUCACAGGCAGCACGGUUUCAGGAGAGGAAAGUCCUCCUUAUCAAACCUGAUUUCCUUCU
This is a long non-coding RNA of Chiroxiphia lanceolata (lance-tailed manakin), 691 nucleotides long. RefSeq lists it as uncharacterized. The record is from RefSeq and is a predicted model, not a curated record. The transcript has 5 exons. NCBI's taxonomy places the organism in Eukaryota, Metazoa, Chordata, Aves, Passeriformes, Pipridae.